This 451-nucleotide ribosomal RNA is filed under the name uncultured bacterium. RNAcentral's name for it is "bacterial SSU rRNA". It matches the Rfam family "Bacterial small subunit ribosomal RNA", at positions 340 to 786 of the family's 1533-position model. The record is from RNAcentral.
UACGGAAGGCAGCAGUGGGGAAUAUUGCACAAUGGGCGCAAGCCUGAUGCAGCCAUGCCGCGUGUAUGAAGAAGGCCUUCGGGUUGUAAAGUACUUUCAGUCGUGAGGAAGGUGUUAAGGUUAAUAACCUUAGCAAUUGACGUUAGCGACAGAAGAAGCACCGGCUAACUCCGUGCCAGCAGCCGCGGUAAUACGGAGGGUGCGAGCGUUAAUCGGAAUUACUGGGCGUAAAGGGCACGCAGGCGGUUAAUUAAGUUGGAUGUGAAUCCCCGGGCUUAACCUGGGAAUGGCAUUCAAGACUGGUUAGCUAGAGUCUUGUAGAGGGGGUAGAAUUCCAUGUGUAGCGGUGAAAUGCGUAGAGAUGUGGAGGAAUACCGGUGGCGAAGGCGGCCCCUGGCAAAGACUGACGCUCAUGUGCGAAAGCGUGGGGAGCAAACAGGGAUUAGAUACC